This 71-nucleotide transfer RNA is filed under the name Atta laevigata. RNAcentral's name for it is "tRNA-Leu". The record is from RNAcentral. Lineage: Eukaryota; Metazoa; Arthropoda; Insecta; Hymenoptera; Formicidae.
UUUAAUAUGGCAGAAUAGUGCAUUGAAUUUAAACUUCAAUUAAAAAGACCAUUAUACAUCUUUUAUUAAAA